Molecule: ribosomal RNA, 710 nt
Filed under: uncultured Comamonadaceae bacterium
Lineage: Bacteria; Pseudomonadati; Pseudomonadota; Betaproteobacteria; Burkholderiales; Comamonadaceae
Description: bacterial SSU rRNA
Rfam family: Bacterial small subunit ribosomal RNA
Source: RNAcentral
GGCGAACGGGUGAGUAAUAUAUCGGAACGUGCCCAGUCGUGGGGGAUAACGUAGUGAAAAUUACGCUAAUACCGCAUACGAUCUAAGGAUGAAAGCGGGGGAUCGCAAGACCUCGCGCGAUUGGAGCGGCCGAUAUCAGAUUAGGUAGUUGGUGAGGUAAAGGCUCACCAAGCCAACGAUCUGUAGCUGGUCUGAGAGGACGACCAGCCACACUGGAACUGAGACACGGUCCAGACUCCUACGGGAGGCAGCAGUGGGGAAUUUUGGACAAUGGACGCAAGUCUGAUCCAGCCAUUCCGCGUGCAGGACGAAGGCCUUCGGGUUGUAAACUGCUUUUGUACAGAACGAAAAGGUCUCUAUUAAUACUAGGGGCUCAUGACGGUACUGUAAGAAUAAGCACCGGCUAACUACGUGCCAGCAGCCGCGGUAAUACGUAGGGUGCAAGCGUUAAUCGGAAUUACUGGGCGUAAAGCGUGCGCAGGCGGUUAUAUAAGACAGAUGUGAAAUCCCCGGGCUCAACCUGGGAACUGCAUUUGUGACUGUAUAGCUGGAGUGCGGCAGAGGGGGAUGGAAUUCCGCGUGUAGCAGUGAAAUGCGUAGAUAUGCGGAGGAACACCGAUGGCGAAGGCAAUCCCCUGGGCCUGUACUGACGCUCAUGCACGAAAGCGUGGGGAGCAAACAGGAUUAGAUACCCUGGUAGUCCACGCCCU